CCUACGGUGGGCAGCAGUGAGGAAUAUUGGUCAAUGGCCGGAAGGCUGAACCAGCCAAGCCGCGUGAAGGACGAAGGUUCCAAGCAUUGUAAACUUCUUUUGUCAAGGGACAAAUUCAGGCUCGAGAGCCUGACCGAGGGUACUUGUAGAAAAAGCCUCGGCUAACUCCGUACCAGCAGCCGCGGUAAUACGGAGGAUGCGAGCGUUAUCCGGAUUUACUGGGCGUAAAGCGCUCGUAGGCGGUAUGUCAAGUCAAGGGUGAAAUCCCCGCGCUCAACGUGGGAACUGCCUUUGAAACUGGCAAACUGGAGUGUGUGAGAGGAAAGUGGAAUUCCAGGUGUAGGAGUGAAAUGCGUAGAUAUCUGGAGGAACAUCAGUGGCGAAGGCGACUAUCUGGAACAUAACUGACGCUGAGGAGCGAAAGCGUGGGUAGCAAACAGGAUUAGAUACCCGAGUAGUC
This 460-nucleotide ribosomal RNA is filed under the name uncultured bacterium. RNAcentral describes it as "partial 16S ribosomal RNA". It matches the Rfam family "Bacterial small subunit ribosomal RNA", at positions 338 to 795 of the family's 1533-position model. The record is from RNAcentral.